AAGAAAGUUGUGAUACAUCCACAUUUAGGGAUUUUAAAAUGAACCCAAUCUCAUCAUUUUGGAGCUUUUAAUCAGAGAGGGGGAGGAACUAGUAUUCAACAAGCACCUUACUAAGAUUUGGUGAGUAGCCAGGCACGUGCUAGGACCUAGUGUGUAUUUUCUUGUUUAAUUCUAAUAAAUUUGGGGGGGGGGCGGGAUUAUUAUCCCCACUUUACAGAUGAAUAAACUGAGGCUCAGAGAAGUGAAUUACGUUCAUGUCAAAAGGAAGAUGGAGCAGGGAUUUGAACCCAGGUCUGUAGACUCCAAAGGGUAUCAUGGGAUAACAGGUAAAUGUGCUUUUCUAUUUUCCAGACUUUUCAUAAGGUUAUGUGGCUUUACAAUAAAAGGUUACCGACUUCUCUCUUACUACUCCUUGUUGUAAAAGGGUUGCUCCCAAGUGGAUUCAGAGGUGUUUAAAAUCCCUUGCCUGCCUCUUCUUCAGGAGAGUCAUCAUCCUCCCUAAUGACCCCUGCUUGGUUUCUUUAUUCAGUGGAUUCGUUUCCUGAGGCUGCUGUGACAAAGUACCACGAACUGAGUGGCUUCAGACAACAGACACUUGUUCUGGAGGUAAGUGCUCCAAAGUCGAGAUGUCGGCAGGGUCAUGCUCCUGCUGAAGGUUCUGGGGGAGAAUCCUUCCUUUCCUCUCCCAGCUUCUGGUGGCCCCCAGCAUCCCUUGGCUUGUAACUACAUCACCCCAGUCUCUGUCUCCAUCUUCAUGUGGACUUGCUUCCUGUGUCUCUGUGUGUCCCCUCCUCUUCUUACCAGGACACCAGCCACUGGAUUUAGGGCCGACCCUAAAUCCAAGAUGAUUUCAUCUCGAGAUGAAAGGAACUAAUGAUAUCUGCAAAGACCCUAUUUCCAAAUAAAGUCACAUUCACAGGGGGUUAGUCUUUGAACAUAUCUUUCGGGGAACACAGUUCAACAGACUACAUUCAGUAAGACUGUCUCAGAGGGGGCGGAGAGAAGCUGGGGCCCUGGUGCUCGCUGGUGGCCCUGUAGCCUUCGCUGCCCCAUGCUGUCACGCCCAGACCUCGGGCUGGGGCUGCGCCUCACUCUCCCCUCUCCUCUGUCCGGCAGGCGGGGGGAGGGCAAGCUAGUGUUGCCGCUUAGCAGCAGAAAAUCACAAAGUCACCAUUCCUAAUAAACCCCAUUGCUUCUCCCUCCUUCCUUCUCCCAGCAAUUUCCCCAGUGGUGUCUGUGGUGAAACAAGGCGACCGGGAGAAAUGGGGGGAGGGGAGUCUGGAUUAGAAAAGAGCCUGACGAGAACAUAUCCUUUUAUGAUGGGGGCGGUUCUGCCAGUUUUUGCUGGGCCUCCCCUGUUCCCCCUGCCGCCCCACCCCACCCUAGGAACAGCCUUGACUGUCCUGUGGGGACUCCUGCCCUCUCCAGGUCAGUCAAUCGGGCAGGGCUGUCCCCACCGCAGCUGGCUUCUUUCAGUUCCCUGCCCUCUGCCUCUUCCCCCAGGGCCAGUCCCCCCAACCCCACCCCGGGCAGAGCAGAUCAACAGAUCUUUGCUUUUCUGCAGCCUUGCCUGGCCCUCCCUCCCGAUUUAGCUGACCGGCCAGGGGCAGGCUGGAGCAGCCCACACCGGCCUGCCCACCGGCCCGAAGCAGGAUGCAUUCAGGUGAAAAGGGCGAGGAUGGCCCUACCGCAGUAAAAACCAACAAACCCAGUUCCCUGGCUGUGUGUGGCUCUGUGCUUUAUUUGUUUGCAGGUCAGAAGGGUGAGGAAGGUUGCAGGUGAGCCUGAGGGUGUAGACCCCUUUGGGGGAGAGGGACUGAGGGGUGGGAGGGCGGGUGUGAUGAGCUUUGUCUUUAUAGAUCUUUGAUUAUUACACUUUCUGAGCUCUGAUUUCACUCUGUCCCCCAGCAUCCUCACUGGGUCCUUGUUUCUGCCCUGCUCUGUUCUUCCUCCUUCCUCACCCUUGGGAUUUCAGAGCUUCCAUCCUGAGCCCUGGUCCAAGGUCCACUGCCACCACCCACAACCUUGCCUACCAGGCCCCUGGCUCCCUGCCCUGACGCCCGCAGCUCCCAAUCAGGGUACCCCUGGCUUUUCUGUUGCUGGAUCAACCUAUGAGCAUCCUUGACAGUAACUCAUGAACUUGCCACAGCUUCUCCGAUGCCUGGCUCCCUUCUCUGAAAAGUUGGGGAGCUGCUACCUUACAGGGGUCUGUGCACAAGGGGAAAAAAAUGGUUGAAAAAGUGCUUUGUAAAACUGGGAUUUGCUGUCAAAUGAGAAAGCUUAUUACUAAAGAUGUGAGAUGCAGAUGCAGAACACUUAACCAGCACUGAAACAAUCUUUUUUUUUUUUUUUUUUUUUUUUUUUUUUACUGUCACGAAGGCUGAGCAGAGGGGCCGUGGAAUCCAGGAUGUCAGGACGGAGAUGCCACCUUGUUGUAUGCUACCCCAACGCCCCUCCCGCCCCACCCCUCCCCUCCCAGCUGACCUGGGGGUGGGGCGGGACAGAGGAUCCCCACCCGGGUGCAACACGUACAGUUCUGCAAGAUUCAGAAUAGCCUCAAAUCACCACAUUUUCGGAAAACGGAUGAAAAGCUGAUCAAACAGACGUUUGGUGCCAGGAUGAAGGGGAGCUGGGUCCUGCACGAUCGAGUUGGAGGCAAAGUGCGGGCUGGAGUUCUCUACAGCUGGAGGAGGAGCCGUCAGUCAUCCGUCAGGCGGCUGGCGCUGGACUGGCCCUGGGUUAUGUGGCUCCCAGUUACCUCCACGUGGAGGCCAGUUCUUGGGCUGUUGAGGGUCCAGAUGGCUUCCAGGAAUUCUCCCACCGAUGAAUGAAGAAGAGGACAUCCGAUGAACACGAUGGAAUAAGGUUUAAAUCUCCUGGUGAUUUGACAUGAAAUAUUGACAUCAAUGAACAUAACUCACAAUAGGUCCCUGCAGAGAGGACAGCACAGCCACACUGGGUAAGGAGGGUCGUCCAUCCAAGGAGCAGGGGAGUCCCCGCAUGAGGAAACUGGACAUGCCCUGAAUUCUUCCUGCUCAUCUCUGAAGGAAACUUGGUCGAAGUUUAGAUUCUCUCGAUAGAAUAUGACGUUCCAGAAUCCUUGUCCAACAAAGAGGGGGAUCGCGUCCCUCCUGGGGGGCUGUGACAUCACGUGUGUGAAGUGCCUGCAGGCCUCCUGCGUCCGUAACCGAUGCCAGUUCUUAGCCCCUUCCCUCCGUCUUUUCCUGGCGCAUGUCUCACAAAGACGGUUUCAGUUCCUCCCAUGGGCCCCGCUAAGAGGAACCUGCUCCCCUCCGAGCCGCCGGCCCACCUCUUGUAAAGAGACCUACUCGAGAGAGGCUCAAAGGCUGAGGCAAAACAGCUACUUUCAAUCAACAUCUCGUUCUUUGCCAAGCACUCUCACCUGUGUUACCACAACUGUUCCUCAUCCAAUCCGUGCAAGGUGGGUAUUUCACCCCCAUACUGUAGGCCCCCAGCACAUGCCUGGUCCUGCCGGCCCUGUCCACCCCCUGCCCCCUGCGACUUUAUCAUGUGACCUCUCAAGUCCUGCUCUGACCUUGCUGAGUAGUGGCCUCUGGGCAGCCCAAGACCCCAGAGAGGGAAGAAGUGACCUGGAGAGGAAGACAUCACAGGCCAAAAUCGGAGCAGCUUGAACUGAGAAGGGACUUUGGAGAUGGGCCAGGUCAGCAUUCCAGGCCAGGCCAGUUCAGAGGGCGUUCUCGGGGGCCCCUCCAACUGGUGGGCUCCUCUGGUGCUGGCGUCUAUACCGAGGAAGGAAGUGACUUCCUGCAGGGGGGAAAGGGAGGAGAAUGGAAACGCAGAGAAGACACAGAAGAUCCUGAGCGUCGGAGCCAAGCGCGGCUCCAGGGGACUCAACUCACUCGAUCACUCACCCUCACUCACUUGGGGCAGUUGGAAAUCCUGUCUGGGGGUUCUGUUUUCCUCCCUAGACAGGGAGCACCUUAAGGGCAAAAGUAAGAUUUAUGUUUUAUACUCCCACUGCCUGGCAUACAGUAGGCACUUAAUAUGUGUAUGGAGGCCAGCAAUUGUGGUCCAGUUUGGAAAGCUUUAGUCUUUGUGUGGACAAGGCACCUUAGGACUUUAGGGGAUGUGUGUGCUUCCCCAUUUCCUCUUCCUUCACAGCUGCCACCUCCUCCAUGAAGUCCUCCUGGGUAGCCCCUCCUCCCUCCACCCCAAGUAGUUCACUUCUUCCCCUGCCUCCCUCUUUGCUCUGUACACACUUCUGCCAUUGAGGUGGGCUGGAGCAGUGGUUAGGAGCAGAGGCUGGGUCAUUUCCCCUGGACACAUUUCUUAGCUGUGUGACCUUGAGCAAAUUUUAUUUUAACCUCCUUGUGCCUCAGUGUCCUUAUCUGUAAAAUGGUAGUGAUUAUAGUACCUGCCUCAUAGAAUUGCAGUGAGGAUUAAAUUGAUGUGUAGAUUAAAAUCAUUUUGGAUGGU
Molecule: long non-coding RNA, 4458 nt
Organism: Orcinus orca (killer whale)
Lineage: Eukaryota; Metazoa; Chordata; Mammalia; Artiodactyla; Delphinidae
Exons: 8
Source: RefSeq, a predicted model, not a curated record